This is a long non-coding RNA of Tetranychus urticae (two-spotted spider mite), 847 nucleotides long. RefSeq lists it as uncharacterized. The record is from RefSeq and is a predicted model, not a curated record. NCBI's taxonomy places the organism in Eukaryota, Metazoa, Arthropoda, Arachnida, Trombidiformes, Tetranychidae.
CCGGAACAUAUAAACAUAUGUGACAUAUAGUGUAACCAGUUUUAUUUUUAUUUAAAGUGAAACGCUUCUCUUGUUUAACAUACGUCUAGUUUAACAGAUUUUAUUUGUUAAAAUUUGAAUUGAAUAUGCAUGAAUAUUGAGUUCAGUCACCAGAUCUACAUUUCUUAUUUAUCUUUUUCAGCGUGGCGCGUGAUUAUGUGAGGCUUCUCAAAUAUGGAGACUCUUUUUAUCGGUGCAAGCAGCUGAAAAGAGCUGCACUGAGACGGAUAGCAAAUAUUAUGAAAAGGCUAACAUAUACUAUCAGUCUGAUAGUUCAGUUUACCUAGAAAGAGUUCACAUCUCUCGUUUUGGAGAAAAUAAAGAGAGUAGACAAUGUAAAUAUUUAGGAGAUGAGUACUGUUACUUAACAAGGAGUCAUAGAAGUCAUAGGCUAACAGACUCCACGUAGCUUUGCCUCUUCCUAGAGACUCAUAGGAACGAACUCCUUGCAUUACUGAAGCUGCUCUCAAAAACAAAUCUGAAAUGACAACUGAAAAUGGCUCUGAUGAAGACCUGGACGAUGAAAUGGCUAAACUUAAAAAGAAGACUGAACGUGAUAUCGAAUUGGAAAUGGGAGACGAUUAUAUUCUAGAUCUAAAGAAGCGUUACGAUAUCGAAGGAGAUCGAAGGUUCGAUAUCAUUCCAGAAAUAUGAGAAGUUUUUGCAAUUGCAGAUUUUGAUUUGCUGAUCUGGGAAAAAAUUGGCUGAAUUAGAAGCACAAGAAAGACAAUUGAUUGAAAAUGGAUAUUAUGACCCUAAUCUUGAAGAAGAAAAUUUUCAUAAUAAGGGCAAUACAUGAUCUAGAUAA